GGCUCAGUCAACUUGAUAUUAAUUUGAACGUUUGUACUGCAUGGUUCUGAUUGAUUGCUGUUGAACUCGCUUGAAUAAUUUUACCAGGUGUCCUGUAUUCAUCAUAGAGAAAUAUGGCUGCUACAGUCCAAUUACAGAGAGCAGUUGUCUGUGGCAAAGGUGUUCCAACAGCCUGGGAUGGGGAGCCAGCAUUUUGCUUUUGAGGACACAGGAGUGUUGAAUGUAAGGUAAUCGUCCUGCUCUACUCAUUGGUGAAGCCUCAGCUGAAGUAUUGUGUCUAAUUCUGGACUCUACACUUUAAAGAAAAUAUGUGAGCAAAUUGGAGAGCGUCCAGAGGAAAGCAACACAAAUGAUAAAAAGUUUGGAAAACCUGCCUAUGAGGAAAAGUUAAAAAAACUGGACAUGUUUAAUCUUGAGACAAGAUGACUAUGGAGGAGGCAAGGUGGGGGAGAACCUGAUAACAUUCUUCAGCUAUGUGAAGGGCUGUUAUGAAGAGGAUGGUCACCAAGUGACUAGGGAGGUGGUAGAAUCUC
Caretta caretta (loggerhead turtle) is the source of this 533-nucleotide long non-coding RNA. RefSeq lists it as uncharacterized. The record is from RefSeq and is a predicted model, not a curated record. Lineage: Eukaryota; Metazoa; Chordata; Testudines; Cheloniidae.